This 465-nucleotide ribosomal RNA is filed under the name Vreelandella stevensii. Its description in RNAcentral is "partial 16S ribosomal RNA". It matches the Rfam family "Bacterial small subunit ribosomal RNA", at positions 338 to 795 of the family's 1533-position model. The record is from RNAcentral. Lineage: Bacteria; Pseudomonadati; Pseudomonadota; Gammaproteobacteria; Oceanospirillales; Halomonadaceae.
CCUACGGGUGGCAGCAGUGGGGAAUAUUGGACAAUGGGGGCAACCCUGAUCCAGCCAUGCCGCGUGUGUGAAGAAGGCCCUCGGGUUGCAAAGCACUUUCAGUGAGGAAGAACGCCUGGUGGUUAAUACCCAUCAGGAAAGACAUCACUCACAGAAGAAGCACCGGCUAACUCCGUGCCAGCAGCCGCGGUAAUACGGAGGGUGCGAGCGUUAAUCGGAAUUACUGGGCGUAAAGCGCGCGUAGGUGGCUUGAUAAGCCGGUUGUGAAAGCCCCGGGCUCAACCUGGGAACGGCAUCCGGAACUGUCAAGCUAGAGUGCAGGAGAGGAAGGUAGAAUUCCCGGUGUAGCGGUGAAAUGCGUAGAGAUCGGGAGGAAUACCAGUGGCGAAGGCGGCCUUCUGGACUGACACUGACACUGAGGUGCGAAAGCGUGGGUAGCAAACAGGAUUAGAUACCCGGGUAGUC